UACGUAGGGAGCAAGCGUUGUCCGGAAUUACUGGGUGUAAAGGGAGCGUAGGCGGGAGGAUAAGUUGAAUGUGAAAUCUAUGGGCUCAACCCAUAGCUGCGUUCAAAACUGUUCUUCUUGAGUGAAGUAGAGGCAGGCGGAAUUCCUAGUGUAGCGGUGAAAUGCGUAGAUAUUAGGAGGAACACCAGUGGCGAAGGCAGCAUGCCGGCUCCACACUGACGCUGAGGCACGAAAGCGUGGGUAGCAAACAGG
This 252-nucleotide ribosomal RNA is filed under the name uncultured Oscillospiraceae bacterium. Its description in RNAcentral is "partial 16S ribosomal RNA". It matches the Rfam family "Bacterial small subunit ribosomal RNA", at positions 524 to 776 of the family's 1533-position model. The record is from RNAcentral. Lineage: Bacteria; Bacillati; Bacillota; Clostridia; Eubacteriales; Oscillospiraceae.